RNAcentral lists this transfer RNA (85 nucleotides) under Nitrososphaerota archaeon. RNAcentral's name for it is "tRNA-Leu". It matches the Rfam family "tRNA". Rfam says of the family: Transfer RNA (tRNA) molecules are approximately 80 nucleotides in length. Their secondary structure includes four short double-helical elements and three loops (D, anti-codon, and T loops). Further hydrogen bonds mediate the characteristic L-shaped molecular structure. tRNAs have two regions of fundamental functional importance: the anti-codon, which is responsible for specific mRNA codon recognition, and the 3' end, to which the tRNAs corresponding amino acid is attached (by aminoacyl-tRNA synthetases). tRNAs cope with the degeneracy of the genetic code in two manners: having more than one tRNA (with a specific anti-codon) for a particular amino acid; and 'wobble' base-pairing, i.e. permitting non-standard base-pairing at the 3rd anti-codon position. Lineage: Archaea; Thermoproteati; Nitrososphaerota. The record is from RNAcentral. RNAcentral also lists the same sequence under 2 other names.
GCGGGGGUGGCCGAGCCAGGUCAAAGGCGCAGGGCUUAGGACCCUGUCCCGUAGGGGUUCGUGGGUUCGAAUCCCACCCCCCGCA